RNAcentral lists this ribosomal RNA (275 nucleotides) under uncultured bacterium. RNAcentral's name for it is "partial 16S ribosomal RNA". It matches the Rfam family "Bacterial small subunit ribosomal RNA", at positions 399 to 691 of the family's 1533-position model. The record is from RNAcentral.
GCGUGAGUGAGGAAGGCCUUAGGGUUGUAAAGCUCUUUCACCCGCGACGAUGAUGACGGUAGCGGGAGAAGAAGCCCCGGCUAACUUCGUGCCAGCAGCCGCGGUAAUACGAAGGGGGCGAGCGUUGUUCGGAUUUACUGGGCGUAAAGGGCGCGCAGGCGGCGACAUUUGUCAGGCGUGAAAGCCCCGGGCUUAACCUGGGAACUGCGCUUGAUACGGUGUGGCUAGAGUUCGGGAGAGGAGAGCGGAAUUCCCAGUGUAGAGGUGAAAUUCGU